GGCGAAGGUGGCGGAAUUGGUAGACGCGCUAGCUUCAGGUGUUAGUGUCCUUACGGACGUGGGGGUUCAA
RNAcentral lists this transfer RNA (70 nucleotides) under Klebsiella pneumoniae CHS 45. RNAcentral's name for it is "tRNA-Leu". Lineage: Bacteria; Pseudomonadati; Pseudomonadota; Gammaproteobacteria; Enterobacterales; Enterobacteriaceae. The record is from RNAcentral.